UGGGGAAUAUUGGGCAAUGGGCGAAAGCCUGACCCAGCAACGCCGCGUGAUUGAAGAAGGUCUUCGGAUUGUAAAGAUCUGUCCUUGGGGACGAAAAAAAUGACGGUACCCAAGGAGGAAGCCCCGGCUAACUACGUGCCAGCAGCCGCGGUAAUACGUAGGGGGCGAGCGUUGUCCGGAAUUACUGGGCGUAAAGGGUGCGCAGGCGGUUUUUUAAGUCAGAUGUGAAAUACCCGGGCUUAACCUGGGGGGUGCAUUUGAAACUGGAAGACUUGAGUGCAGGAGAGGAAAGUGGAAUUCCUAGUGUAGCGGUGAAAUGCGUAGAUAUUAGGAGGAACACCAGUGGCGAAGGCGACUUUCUGGACUGUAACUGACGCUGAGGCACGAAAGCGUGGGGAGCAAACAGG
This 407-nucleotide ribosomal RNA is filed under the name uncultured bacterium. RNAcentral's name for it is "bacterial SSU rRNA". It matches the Rfam family "Bacterial small subunit ribosomal RNA", at positions 355 to 776 of the family's 1533-position model. The record is from RNAcentral.